This 166-nucleotide ribosomal RNA is filed under the name Colletotrichum gloeosporioides. Its description in RNAcentral is "partial 28S ribosomal RNA". It matches the Rfam family "Eukaryotic large subunit ribosomal RNA", at positions 1 to 169 of the family's 3401-position model. The record is from RNAcentral. Lineage: Eukaryota; Fungi; Ascomycota; Sordariomycetes; Glomerellales; Glomerellaceae.
UUGACCUCGGAUCAGGUAGGAAUACCCGCUGAACUUAAGCAUAUCAAUAAGCGGAGGAAAAGAAACCAACAGGGAUUGCCUCAGUAACGGCGAGUGAAGCGGCAACAGCUCAAAUUUGAAAUCUGGCCCUAGGCCCGAGUUGUANUUUGCAGAGGAUGCUUNNGGG